AAAGCUAAUAGCCUUUUGGCUAAGAUCAAGUGUAGUAUCUGUUCUUAUCAGUUUAAUAUGAUACAUGUACAUGUACGUCGCCUAGAGUGGCCAUCAGCCAGAUAGGCGACACAUAAAUUAAAUUUUAUUAUUAUUUAUUAUUAUUAUUAGAAGGCACUCUGCACCACCACCGAAGCCACUUGAGCUUCAAGUGACAGUAA
Molecule: small nuclear RNA, 200 nt
Organism: Rhineura floridana
Lineage: Eukaryota; Metazoa; Chordata; Lepidosauria; Squamata; Rhineuridae
Product: U2 spliceosomal RNA
Exons: 1
Source: RefSeq, a predicted model, not a curated record